This 1325-nucleotide long non-coding RNA is filed under the name Callithrix jacchus (white-tufted-ear marmoset). Its description in RNAcentral is "lncRNA (ENSCJAG00000083083.1)". Lineage: Eukaryota; Metazoa; Chordata; Mammalia; Primates; Cebidae. The record is from RNAcentral.
AUGGACAAAGAAAAUUGUUGUUUUUUUUUUUUUCAGGGAAUGGUUCUAAGAAGCAUUUAUAUGAUUUUGACCAGAAACGUUAUCAUAAGACAAUUGGAUCUUGAUAAACACAGGAAAAUCUACAUGACUCUCACUUAUCCCCACUACUUCUAUCUACAAAAUUGACGUCAUACCUUGCUCAGUUGGGUCUUCACAGUGUGCUGUGACAAAAAUCAAGAACUGCAGAGGAAAUCAAUCUAGAACAGAAAAGCAAGGUGGUAUUGUUCAGUCUGAUUCCAAUAUUUGAGAAGUUGUUCAGUGCCCAGUAAGCAAACACAUACCAUUCAUAAGUAAUUUUGUUUUUUAAAAUGUAAAUUAAAAUAUUACUUUUCUUUCCAUUUAUGUCAUUGUUUUCCUGAAGGUUACUAUGUGUUAGGACAUAGAUACUUCUUAAGUGAUUUGGAUCCAAUUACUUAAUAAGUACAACUGUCAGGGAUUUCUUUUGGUCUAGGGGUGCCAUGAAAAUAAUUAAGAAUCAUGAAAAUCUCCAUGAAUUGAAAACAUGUGGGCACCUCUGAACUAAAUUCAUAUUGGUGAAUACUUCUGGAAAAUUAUGUGCAACGGUGCAUAGAAACACAGAGAGAUUGGUUUGGUUUGUGAGAUGGAUUUGGGGAGUGUAAGAGGGAAGGCUAAACAGAGGUAUAGCAAUGGAGCGAUCCCAUAAAGAGUGCCCAGAAUAUUGUCUAGUGAAAAAUAAGGAAUGAGAAGAAGAAGAAUUGCACUAAAUUACGAUGGCCUGUUAUUGUUAUAUUCCAUGGAACUCAUACUUUCACUCUUUAAUUUGCUUAACCAAAGCACAAUUGUCUCAUUUGGCUGUUUUCUGAAUAUGAUGCUUCAUUUCUAAGUGGUUUUGACCAUUUCCAAAAUCACCUUUCUUUUCUCAUCUUAGAUGCCCAACACCAACACAAAAUAGUUAAAGUGUUUUCACUCCCUUAAAAGAGACCCUGCAAUCAAAUUAUGCUUGAAUCUCUUCUUAAAGAACUUAAAGGUUCUUUUGUCCUCUGAAGGCUAUUCAAACAUCAAAAUAAGAAUUAGGUCUACACAACUGAAUUUCUAACUGAUAGCACUUUAUUCUCCUGGAGAAUACCAGGCCGAGAGGAGGAGCUCAUUUGAUUAGGGAUUUUUAAUUUUGCUGUCACAAAGGGUUGUAUUUACCCUUUAGACUGUGUUCAUUUAGCCAACAUAGAAUUCUUUUCUUUUGCACAUUUUCUUAUUAUUUCAAGUAAAUUUCUAAAGUUACUAUUAUCAUUCUCUUUUGGCAAUUUAUCAUAUAGGCAGCCUAGCAA